This 75-nucleotide transfer RNA is filed under the name Alphaproteobacteria bacterium. Its description in RNAcentral is "tRNA-Thr". It matches the Rfam family "tRNA". Rfam says of the family: Transfer RNA (tRNA) molecules are approximately 80 nucleotides in length. Their secondary structure includes four short double-helical elements and three loops (D, anti-codon, and T loops). The record is from RNAcentral. Lineage: Bacteria; Pseudomonadati; Pseudomonadota; Alphaproteobacteria.
GCUGCUGUAGCUCAGGGGUAGAGCACGUCAUUGGUAAUGACGAGGCCGGGAGUUCGAAUCUCCCCAGCAGCACCA